GACUCGGCUCCGCCUCCUCCCCGCCACUGCCCCCACCCCUCGAUGAUGGCGCGCCGCUUGGGAGUCAGUCCGACGCCUCUCUGCGGCGGCGCUCCCCUACGGUUCGCACCCCCUCCGUGCUCCUCCCCGCUCUCCCUCUCCCGCCAAGCAGCUCCCUGCUUGUGGUGGGCUGGUAGGUAGGGCGAGCGUUUUCGUCUGUAGAUUGCCUUCCGGGUGUACAGGCACGGCUCUCUCGCCCGGAAACUGAAUAUAAGGAAGGAUUCGGGGGUUCCGUGGGGGCUUGGGUUUUGCGAGCUUACGGUCAUUUCUGCAAAUUAUGUUUGUAUCUUUUCAUCCUUUUUGUAACAUGGGAGUAUCCGAGUAUAUGAUUACUAAACGACCUCUACCAGUAAGUCAUUUAUGUUUUACGUCCUCUGAUGUGCCCAAAUGGGAUGGCAUGUAACCCAAUGCCAUGAAUGAAUCAUUCGAUGGCCAACCGAGAUAUUUGUAAUUUUUAUAUUUUUCUGUUAAGAGCCAAUACAACCUGCUGGGACUGUGUCCUAUCUAUUUGCAUUGUCAGUAAUACUUUCUUUGUGACAUUGUAAAGUUCUAUUUCUAGUGAUUAUUGGAAGCGUGAAAGUACAACAACCUAGUUUCUCAGAUAGUUUCAGUAUUGCUCUCUCCUUGUGAUAUUUGUUUGGCUCUAGUAAAACUAGAUGUGUGUUUGGGGGUUAAGCACAGAUAAUAAGUGACAUUGUCCUGUCUAACAUUGUUGAUAUUUUACUACAGAGUACAUUUUCUUGG
This 783-nucleotide long non-coding RNA is filed under the name Oryza brachyantha (malo sina). Its description in RNAcentral is "long non-coding RNA (OBRA_LNC002486)". The record is from RNAcentral. Lineage: Eukaryota; Viridiplantae; Streptophyta; Magnoliopsida; Poales; Poaceae.